Molecule: ribosomal RNA, 111 nt
Filed under: Acipenser sinensis (Chinese sturgeon)
Lineage: Eukaryota; Metazoa; Chordata; Actinopteri; Acipenseriformes; Acipenseridae
Source: RNAcentral
GCCUGCGGCCACACCACCUUGAAUAAGCCCGAUCUCAGAAGCUAAGCAUCGUUGGGCUUGGUUAGUACUUGGAUGGGAGACCACCUGGGAAUAUCAAGUGCUGUAGGCAUU